RNAcentral lists this small RNA (241 nucleotides) under Pan troglodytes (chimpanzee). Its description in RNAcentral is "processed transcript". Lineage: Eukaryota; Metazoa; Chordata; Mammalia; Primates; Hominidae. The record is from RNAcentral.
AGAUUUUAUAGACCAGUGGAAUACAGGCCUUGUGCAUAUGAAGAUCAGGUGACAAGUUUGCUGCCUACCAGCCUCCACAGCAAUAUGCCCUUUCACGAAUCCAAAGGACUGCAUGACACACCAUAGGAUAUAGUCAAGAAGCCUUUGGACAUGGGAGUUUGAAGCUCAAAGGAGAAUUCAUACCUGAAGAGAAAUUUGGAAGCCAUCAAUACAUUGACAAAUAAAAAGAAGUGUUAAGAAU